UACGGAGGGGGCUAGCGUUGUUCGGAAUCAUUGGGCGUAAAGGGCGCGUAGGCGGCCGGCCAAGUCGGUUGUGAAAUCCCUCGGCUCAACCGAGGAACUGCACUCGAUACUGGUUGGCUAGAGUCCGGGAGGGGAUGGUGGAAUUCCCAGUGUAGCGGUGGAAUGCGCAGAUAUCUGGAGGAACAUCGGUGGCGAAGGCGGCAUCCUGGACCGGUAUUGACGCUGAGGCGCGAAAGCCAGGGGAGCAAACGGG
RNAcentral lists this ribosomal RNA (253 nucleotides) under uncultured bacterium. RNAcentral's name for it is "partial 16S ribosomal RNA". It matches the Rfam family "Bacterial small subunit ribosomal RNA", at positions 524 to 776 of the family's 1533-position model. The record is from RNAcentral.